UUUUUUUUGCAAAAAUGCAAUUUAUUGUUAGAUAUUUAAUUUUUUUUUUGUAAAAAAGAAAGCCCAUGAGCUAGCCCUGACCCACAGGGCUUUGGAGCUUUUUAGUCCUGGGGGCUUUUUUAAUAAAGGGCUUUUUUGGCCCUGUGGGCUUUUUUGACCCACAUGGGCUAGGGCCAGGGCCUAUUAUAGGGGCCUAUUUGACAGGUCUAGCCGGCAUUCUAUAGAGUUCUCGCCACUUUGCUUAUAGCAUAAUCACCACAUUUGCAACGAGGGAUUGUCCCACCUCCCCUCCAACCACCAUCUUUUGAGGAUUGUGAAUUUCUUUCCCACCCCGUUUAGGAACAAGAAGGACAACCUUGGGAAGAAGCCAUUUCUAUCAACCCACAACCACUAUUCUGAAAAAAGGGAAGAACUUGCACGAACCCUAACCACCCAUUUAAUUAGACACAAAAACCUCAAAUUUAAAC
This 467-nucleotide long non-coding RNA is filed under the name Vigna radiata. RNAcentral's name for it is "long non-coding RNA (VRAD_LNC006912)". The record is from RNAcentral. Lineage: Eukaryota; Viridiplantae; Streptophyta; Magnoliopsida; Fabales; Fabaceae.